RNAcentral lists this long non-coding RNA (412 nucleotides) under Ananas comosus (pineapple). RNAcentral describes it as "long non-coding RNA (ACOM_LNC033857)". The record is from RNAcentral. Lineage: Eukaryota; Viridiplantae; Streptophyta; Magnoliopsida; Poales; Bromeliaceae.
GUUUACCCUAGCUAAACGGGUAUGAAUUCGGUUAUGGAUAUAGAAAAUAAAAACCCAACGGAUAUGGAUACGGGUAUUGAUUUUGUAUUUAUCCGACCCGAACCCGAAUCCAAAUAAAUUAUAUAUAUACAUAAUUUAUUUUUAUUUAUUUAUAUAAUAUAUAAAAUAUUUAAUAAUUUUUAUUCUUUAGAUUUUCAUUCAACGGUAUGAAUUUUUAAUAUUCGCUGGGUUCGGAUCUGGGUAGGGGUUUUGGAUUUUUGGUCGGAUACGGAUAUGGGUAUGGAUUUUUAAAAUCCACCGAAUCCGGAUCCGGGUACGGAUUUUAAUUUGAUUUUCGGAUUCGGAUUCAGAUUUUUAAAAACCUGAUCCAAACCCGACCCGUUGACAUUCCUCCUGGUGUGCAUCUCCACUA